Molecule: small RNA, 106 nt
Filed under: Marmota monax (woodchuck)
Lineage: Eukaryota; Metazoa; Chordata; Mammalia; Rodentia; Sciuridae
Source: RNAcentral
GCCAGGCCUGGGGGCACACACCUGUAAUCUCAUCUUCUGGAGAGGCUCAGGCAGGAGGAUCUCAAGUUGGAGCCUGCCUGAGCAACUUAGAGAUACCCUGUCUGCA